This 551-nucleotide ribosomal RNA is filed under the name uncultured archaeon. RNAcentral's name for it is "bacterial SSU rRNA". It matches the Rfam family "Archaeal small subunit ribosomal RNA", at positions 118 to 667 of the family's 1478-position model. The record is from RNAcentral.
GGACCUGGAUAACCUCGGGAAACUGANAAUAAACCACGAUAGAUCAUAGUGCCUGGAAUGGCUUAUGGUCCAAACAGUUUACUGCCAUGGGAUGGGACUGCGGCCUAUCAGCUUGUUGGUGAGGUAAUGGCCCACCAAGGCGAUUACAGGUACGGGCUCUGAGAGGAGAAGCCCGGAGAUGGGUACUGAGACACGGACCCAGGCCCUAUGGGGCGCAGCAGGCGAGAAACCUUAGCAAUGUGCGAAAGCACGACUGGGUCAGUCCGAGUGAUUCCUGAUAAAGGAGUCUUUUGCUUGUCCUAAAAGCACAGGUGAAUAAGGGGUGGGCAAGUCUGGUGUCAGCCGCCGCGGUAAUACCAGCACCUCGAGUGGUCAGGACGUUUUAUUGGGCCUAAAGCAUCCGUAGCCGGCUUUGCAAGUCUUCGUUAAAUCCACCUGCUCAACAGAUGGGCCGCUCGAGAUACUACANANCUAGGGAAGUGGGAGAGGCAGACNGGUAUUCACUGGGUAGGGGUAAAAUCCUCUGAUCCAUUUGAGGACCACCCAGUGGC